Molecule: ribosomal RNA, 734 nt
Filed under: uncultured bacterium
Lineage: Bacteria
Description: bacterial SSU rRNA
Rfam family: Bacterial small subunit ribosomal RNA
Source: RNAcentral
GGCCUAACACAUGCAAGUCGAGCGGUAGAGAGAAGCUUGCUUCUCUUGAGAGCGGCGGACGGGUGAGUAAUGCCUAGGAAUCUGCCUGGUAGUGGGGGAUAACGUUCGGAAACGGACGCUAAUACCGCAUACGUCCUACGGGAGAAAGCAGGGGACCCUUCGGGCCUUGCGCUAUCAGAUGAGCCUAGGUCGGAUUAGCUAGUUGGUGAGGUAAUGGCUCACCAAGGCGACGAUCCGUAACUGGUCUGAGAGGAUGAUCAGUCACACUGGAACUGAGACACGGUCCAGACUCCUACGGGAGGCAGCAGUGGGGAAUAUUGGACAAUGGGCGAAAGCCUGAUCCAGCCAUGCCGCGUGUGUGAAGAAGGUCUUCGGAUUGUAAAGCACUUUAAGUUGGGAGGAAGGGCAGUAAAUUAAUACUUUGCUGUUUUGACGUUACCGACAGAAUAAGCACCGGCUAACUCUGUGCCAGCAGCCGCGGUAAUACAGAGGGUGCAAGCGUUAAUCGGAAUUACUGGGCGUAAAGCGCGCGUAGGUGGUUUGUUAAGUUGAAUGUGAAAUCCCCGGGCUCAACCUGGGAACUGCAUCCAAAACUGGCAAGCUAGAGUAUGGUAGAGGGUGGUGGAAUUUCCUGUGUAGCGGUGAAAUGCGUAGAUAUAGGAAGGAACACCAGUGGCGAAGGCGACCACCUGGACUGAUACUGACACUGAGGUGCGAAAGCGUGGGGAGCAAAC